RNAcentral lists this ribosomal RNA (450 nucleotides) under uncultured bacterium. RNAcentral describes it as "partial 16S ribosomal RNA". It matches the Rfam family "Bacterial small subunit ribosomal RNA", at positions 354 to 796 of the family's 1533-position model. The record is from RNAcentral.
GUGGGGAAUAUUGGACAAUGGGCGGAAGCCUGAUCCAGCCAUGCCGCGUGUGUGAAGAAGGUCUUCGGAUUGUAAAGCACUUUAAGUUGGGAGGAAGGGCAGUAAGCUAAUACCUUGCUGUUUUGACGUUACCGACAGAAUAAGCACCGGCUAACUUCGUGCCAGCAGCCGCGGUAAUACGAAGGGUGCAAGCGUUAAUCGGAAUUACUGGGCGUAAAGCGCGCGUAGGUGGUUUUGUAAGUUGGAGGUGAAAUCCCCGGGCUCAACCUGGGAACUGCCUCCAAAACUGCAUGACUAGAGUACGGUAGAGGGUAGUGGAAUUUCCUGUGUAGCGGUGAAAUGCGUAGAUAUAGGAAGGAACACCAGUGGCGAAGGCGACUACCUGGACUGAUACUGACACUGAGGUGCGAAAGCGUGGGGAGCAAACAGGAUUAGAAACCCUUGUAGUCC